GGUUAAGUUAGAAAGGGCGCACGGUGGAUGCCUUGACACUAGGAGUCGAUGAAGGACGGGACUAACGCCGAUAUGCUUCGGGGAGCUGUAAGUAAGCUUUGAUCCGAAGAUUUCCGAAUGGGGAAACCCACCAUACGUAAUGGUAUGGUAUCCUUAUCUGAAUACAUAGGGUAAGGAAGACAGACCCAGGGAACUGAAACAUCUAAGUACCUGGAGGAAGAGAAAGCAAAUGCGAUUUCCUGAGUAGCGGCGAGCGAAACGGAACAUAGCCCAAACCAAGAGGCUUGCCUCUUGGGGUUGUAGGACAUUCUAUACGGAGUUACAAAGGAACGAGGUAGACGAAGCGACCUGGAAAGGUCCGUCGUAGAGGGUAACAACCCCGUAGUCGAAACUUCGUUCUCUCUUGAAUGUAUCCUGAGUACGGCGGAACACGUGAAAUUCCGUCGGAAUCUGGGAGGACCAUCUCCCAAGGCUAAAUACUCCCUAGUGAUCGAUAGUGAACCAGUACCGUGAGGGAAAGGUGAAAAGCACCCCGGAAGGGGAGUGAAAGAGAUCCUGAAACCGUGUGCCUACAAAUAGUCAGAGCCCGUUAACGGGUGAUGGCGUGCCUUUUGUAGAAUGAACCGGCGAGUUACGAUCCCGUGCGAGGUUAAGCUGAAGAGGCGGAGCCGCAGCGAAAGCGAGUCUGAAUAGGGCGUUUAGUACGUGGUCGUAGACCCGAAACCAGGUGAUCUACCCAUGUCCAGGGUGAAGUUCAGGUAACACUGAAUGGAGGCCCGAACCCACGCACGUUGAAAAGUGCGGGGAUGAGGUGUGGGUAGCGGAGAAAUUCCAAUCGAACCUGGAGAUAGCUGGUUCUCCCCGAAAUAGCUUUAGGGCUAGCCUUAAGUGUAAGAGUCUUGGAGGUAGAGCACUGAUUGGACUAGGGGUCCUCAUCGGAUUACCGAAUUCAGUCAAACUCCGAAUGCCAAUGACUUAUCCUUAGGAGUCAGACUGCGAGUGAUAAGAUCCGUAGUCAAAAGGGAAACAGCCCAGACCGCCAGCUAAGGUCCCAAAGUGUGUAUUAAGUGGAAAAGGAUGUGGAGUUGCUUAGACAACUAGGAUGUUGGCUUAGAAGCAGCCACCAUUUAAAGAGUGCGUAAUAGCUCACUAGUCGAGUGACUCUGCGCCGAAAAUGUACCGGGGCUAAAUACACCACCGAAGCUGCGGAUUGAUACCAAUGGUAUCAGUGGUAGGGGAGCGUUCUAAGGACAGUGAAGUCAGACCGGAAGGACUGGUGGAGUGCUUAGAAGUGAGAAUGCCGGUAUGAGUAGCGAAAGACGGGUGAGAAUCCCGUCCACCGAAUGCCUAAGGUUUCCUGAGGAAGGCUCGUCCGCUCAGGGUUAGUCAGGACCUAAGCCGAGGCCGACAGGCGUAGGCGAUGGACAACAGGUUGAUAUUCCUGUACCACCUCUUUAUCGUUUGAGCAAUGGAGGGACGCAGAAGGAUAGAAGAAGCGUGCGAUUGGUUGUGCACGUCCAAGCAGUUAGGCUGAUAAGUAGGCAAAUCCGCUUAUCGUGAAGGCUGAGCUGUGAUGGGGAAGCUCCUUAUGGAGCGAAGUCUUUGAUUCCCCGCUGCCAAGAAAAGCUUCUAGCGAGAUAAAAGGUGCCUGUACCGCAAACCGACACAGGUAGGCGAGGAGAGAAUCCUAAGGUGUGCGAGAGAACUCUGGUUAAGGAACUCGGCAAAAUGACCCCGUAACUUCGGGAGAAGGGGUGCUUUCUUAACGGAAAGCCGCAGUGAAUAGGCCCAAGCGACUGUUUAGCAAAAACACAGCUCUCUGCGAAGCCGUAAGGCGAAGUAUAGGGGGUGACACCUGCCCGGUGCUGGAAGGUUAAGGAGAGGGGUUAGCGUAAGCGAAGCUCUGAACUGAAGCCCCAGUAAACGGCGGCCGUAACUAUAACGGUCCUAAGGUAGCGAAAUUCCUUGUCGGGUAAGUUCCGACCCGCACGAAAGGUGUAACGAUUUGGGCACUGUCUCAACCAGAGACUCGGUGAAAUUAUAGUACCUGUGAAGAUGCAGGUUACCCGCGACAGGACGGAAAGACCCCGUGGAGCUUUACUGUAGCCUGAUAUUGAAUUUUGGUACAGUUUGUACAGGAUAGGCGGGAGCCUUUGAAACCGGAGCGCUAGCUUCGGUGGAGGCGCUGGUGGGAUACCGCCCUGACUGUAUUGAAAUUCUAACCUACGGGUCUUAUCGACCCGGGAGACAGUGUCAGGUGGGCAGUUUGACUGGGGCGGUCGCCUCCUAAAGUGUAACGGAGGCGCCCAAAGGUUCCCUCAGAAUGGUUGGAAAUCAUUCGUAGAGUGCAAAGGCAUAAGGGAGCUUGACUGCGAGACCUACAAGUCGAGCAGGGAC
This 2397-nucleotide ribosomal RNA is filed under the name Bacillus cereus. RNAcentral describes it as "partial 23S ribosomal RNA". It matches the Rfam family "Bacterial large subunit ribosomal RNA", at positions 1 to 2400 of the family's 2925-position model. Lineage: Bacteria; Bacillati; Bacillota; Bacilli; Caryophanales; Bacillaceae. RNAcentral also lists the same sequence under 1 other name. The record is from RNAcentral.